RNAcentral lists this ribosomal RNA (497 nucleotides) under uncultured bacterium. RNAcentral describes it as "partial 16S ribosomal RNA". It matches the Rfam family "Bacterial small subunit ribosomal RNA", at positions 28 to 507 of the family's 1533-position model. The record is from RNAcentral.
GAUGAACGCUGGCGGCGUGCCUAAUACAUGCAAGUCGAGCGAACAGACGAGGAGCUUGCUCCUCUGACGUUGGCGGCGGACGGGUGAUUAACACGUGGAUGACCUACCUAUACGACUGGGAUAACUUCGGGAAACCGUAUCUAAUACCGGAUAAUAUAUUGCACCUCAUUGUUCAAUAGUGAAAGACGGUUUUGCUGUCACUUAUAGAUGGAUCCGCGCCUCAUUAGUUAGUUGGUAAGGUAACGGCUUACCAAGGCAACGAUGCGUAGCCGACCUGAGAGGGUGAUCGGCCACACUGGCACUGAGACACGGUCCAGACUCCUACGGGAGGCAGCAGUAGGGAAUCUUACGCAAUGGGCGAAAGCCUGACAGAGCAACGCCGCGUGAGUGAUGAAGGUCUUCGGAUCGUAAAACGCUGUAAGUAGGGAAGAACAAAUGUGUAAGUAACUAUGCACGUAUUGACGGUACCUAAUGAAAAAGCCACGGCUAACUACGUG